Molecule: non-coding RNA, 180 nt
Filed under: Gammaproteobacteria bacterium
Lineage: Bacteria; Pseudomonadati; Pseudomonadota; Gammaproteobacteria
Source: RNAcentral
UACAAUCACCGCGUCCCAGGUGCUCGGGAAGCCGGUGAGACUCCGGCGCUGCCCCCGCAACGGUAAGCCAGGACACUCCUUCAUCACGCCACUGGGUUCGCCUGGGAAGGCGAAGGAUCCGACGUCAGCCCAUCGACGUCCCUGGCAAGUCCGGAGACCGGCCUGGAACACAGCGGCGUU